UGACUGUGUUGUUCUCUGCAUUUUGUGUCCUUGGAGCCGUAUCUUGCGGUACCUCCUAGAGGUGGGGUUGUGGGGUCCAAGGGUAAAUGCACCCGUAGAUUUUGUGGGGUGUUGUUCACCCAUAAGGGACACCAAUCUGCAUUGCCACCAGGGGUGCCUGAGCCUGUCUGUUUGUCCACAGCUUCGCCGCAGAGCACGGUGUCAAACUUCUGAAUUUUUGCCAGUCGGAUGGAGGAGAAAUGGCACCUCAGCCUGGCCUCCCUCAGCAUCUCUCUUAUACGAGCAAAGUUAAUGCCUUCUCAUGUAUCCAAGGACCAUUUUUGCAACCUUUUGGGGAAACUGUUUUUCUUGCCCUUUGCUCAUUUUUCUCCAUGAUUUUUGCGCUUUUGUUUCUCGACUUUUAAAAAGUUCCUUGUAUAUGAAAGCCAUUCACCUUUUAUCAGUGAAAGCACGGGCUCAUCAAGAAGCUCUGGUUUUCUCCUGCCCGGACCCUCCCACGGAGCCUGCGGCCAGGAGCAGAGGCCCAGAGAGGUUCAAAAGCUGGCCCGAGACGCACAGCAAGGAAGCGUAAGGAGGUGUUGGAGCCGAACGAACUUCUCGCUCUCUGCUGCGCUGGGUCAGCUGGGAAUUGCACUCAGCCAGGGCCCUGGGUCCUUUGGAGGGGACCCCGGCUCCCAUGGCUCUGAGCACUGCUGCUCCUUCGGACCAGGAGGAAGCCAGCAGGAAGCAUGUUGGCACAGCCUCGGUGGAAGCGAAAGACCACACGCUGGAAUCCCAAAGCUUCAACUAUUCAUCAGCUGCCCAGUGCGCCAGUGGCGGUUCGGAGUGGCUGUUAACCUGGCGUUGACGCUAAACCUGGAGCAACAAGGACCGAAAUUCAGCCCAAACGACUGUUGGCACCUCCACCUCUGAGGUCUCGUGGAAAUUGGAUGAUCAAUUUUUAAGUGGCUUUAAUGAAAUAUUAGUUCCUUCUCCUUUGAAAUCGAUUUCACCAAAGCCAAAGCUUUAGAUCAGGUGAAAUCGCUCUUGGAAUAUGCCAGAGACAGGAUCCACCAACAGGCAGGUCUUCUCCGCCACUGACUGCCGGGAAGUGUCAAAGAACUGGGAGCCAGAGAUGGUUCUAUGGUCUCGGGAGGGAGCAGGGCCCAUGCUUUCCUCACCAGUCCCUGACUCAGGGGGUGGCAGUGAGUGCCAGGGAGUGACUGGCAGCGUCCCGACAGAGUGAAAGAAUGAGCGAAUGAAUACGCACGAAGCCAGCCUGUUAGGCUCCAUCACGGAAAUGCUUGCUUUGCCUCCAGGGAGUCAGCUGAAGACCCAGUGAAACAAAAGCUUUCCCAGGUGACCCUGGGAACCCCUGCGUCUCCUCCGGGGGUCCCGGACCUGGUGGGGGAAGCACACCAACGCUCCACCUGCUGGCCCCCACCCCGACCCAGGCCCCCGGGGCAAUGACGAUGGCAAGAACAUCCGCCUCUGUCUACACAGCAGAGACCGACACGGUCCUGUCCCCCGGAAGCGCAGGCGAAGAAGGAAGCAGGCGGCGCCCUGCCAGGAGAGGCAGAGCAGGGAGGGGCUUCUGCCCAGAGGAGUUCUUUUUUGGGGCGGGGGGGGUGUCACAAAACUUCUCCCGUGAAGUUUUCCCGAGUUCUAACCUUCUGCCGGGGGGCAGGAAUACCAGGUAAGGUGUGCGCCAAGUGCCAAGGCUGGAGCGGAGGCAGGGAGAGGGAGGGCACCCAUUUCCAAGGACACUGGGACUGUGACCUUGAAGCCAGUCCGGUGUGGGGCCUCAGGUGAUUCAGGCCCGCACCCCCCCCCGCCCCCGCCGUGGGAAGUGAGGGGACCCCUGCCAGAGGCAGGAUGCUACAUCUGGGCUAAUUCAGAAGAAGGAUGCAGGUUCACCGGGCAGGGCAGGCUGGGGGUGGGGGCAAGGCCAGCAUGCACUGCGUAUGUCCCAGGCAUCAGGGCGGUACUAGGGGGUCGACCAGACUUGUGCCAUAAGCUCACUGGAGAGAAGCAGCCUCGACUGCCCCACCUCCCUGGGGAUGGAGAGGCAGCUGCCACUGGGUGCAGGUGUUAGCUGGGUUGCAGGUGUCCCCACACCCACCGGGGGAGCCCGGCUGUCCGGUUGCAGCUGGGAGUGGUGGGCCAAGUGGGAGGGCUGCUCCCCCCACCGACUUGCUGACCAGCCACAGGCCAGGGGGCUGGAGCCGGGGGGAGGAGAGGAGAGGCUGCUGUGCCUGGGCUGGGGGUCAACCCCACACAGGGGCUGGGCCCUGAGAGCCCCGGUCAGCGAGCGGAGCCCUGGGAACUGUGCUCAGGGCUGCGGGAGACGUGCACAGACCCCCAUCAGCCUCCUCGGGACCCGCUGCCAGCGGAAGGCAGCGUCUGGUUUUUCCUUUUCUCUUUACAAAGAUAAACCGCUCCCGCUGCCGAAAUGUGGGAAAACGAAAGAAGACAACGGACACGAGAAUCACCUUCACGGCACCCAGCUGCACGGCCGCGGCCGUGGACGUGGCAGAGGCGGGGUCCCUCACAGCCGUGACUGGGGUGGGAGGGGACGAGACUCCAGUGACUGGAGUCAGGUCCUCUUGUCUUCAGGUCACAAAUGAUUGGCAAAAAGCCAUAUCGGGGCUCGACUCAUACGGUCAGAAGUGCAAAUGCAGGGAAGGCGAGGUCGCUGAGGCCGGCUGAGACCCCAGCUAGCUCGGAGGCCACCAGUGGCUUGACGACAGGGGCGCGGGGACCCUGUAGGGUGAGUCUGGAGAGCGGGCGGCGGUGGCCCCACUGCAGACAAGCCAUGGGCACCCUGGCUCAAGGCUCCCCCCAGACCCGAGUGCAGCCCAUCCCCGGAGACCCUCCUCUGGCUUGACGGGGGAAGGUGGGGGUCUGAGGCCCUGGACCAGCGGGGGAUGGCAGCAGGAGCGGUUCUGAGCGGCCUCCGGAGGCCUGGGUGGGGGCUCGCGGGGGAGAAGUCGCCCCCGCGUCACGUGCUAUGGGAGCCUCCCCGCUUGGCAUCGUUAUAACCUUUUUAAUUCCCUGGGAAAAAAGACGUGAAAGCCACAUCAGCUGGGCCGUGGGCUGAGGUUUAAAUGUGAUUGAAACUGCGGCGUGACUGGGGAGAAGGUUGACUGGUCUGCACAGCCUGCCUGGCUGGGUUUUAUGCCCACUGGACUCUGCCCUCGGAGGGAGUCAGGUGAGCGAGGCCGUGGUGAGGAAGUGGAGGCUGUGCGCCCAGACUAGGUCCGCCCUCUCUGGUCCUCGUUGAAUCCGGGGGUCCAGGAGCUAAGGAAAGGCGUGUCUUCACUUCUCCGGGUCCCGCAGGGGCGGCGUCGGGGGAUCGGGGGGCUGCCCCAGGCCUGCGGGCUGUUCAGACACAGCCCUGAGACCCACCUUCCCCCACGGCCGCCCCCCAUGGCCAUGUCCACCUGGACGGGGAGAUCUGGCCUGGAUGGGGCGGGGGCAAGGGUGCCACUUUCAGCCGAGUAGGACGACUGAUGGUUACACUGUGGGCCUGGCACUUGCUUCCCCAGCCGGAAGCAUGUCUGUGCCGCUUACCGCUCGGCCGCGACGAGCCUCAGCUUCCCCUCUGUAGAGUGGGAGUGGGGGCCCGGCUCAGCUCUGAGCUUGGAUGUGCUAGCCCUGGGGCCCCGCCCGCCUCGUCUCCCUUAGUCACUGUGGUCCUUGCUGAGGGCCUGGCGGGUGGGGAGAGAAGAUGGGGUGCUGGGCGGGGGCCCCUGGAUGUGCCGACUGAGGCCGGGGCCCCCAGUGCACAGUCCCGCCUUCCAGGCCCCCAGCAGGACCAGCAGCCAGGCGUCCACUCACACAGCCCCAGGCAGACGGCUGGACCCAGAGCCGUCAUUUUUCUUCAAAACGCCUUUUCCAGCAAGAAGUCCAAACACGAGGACGCCAGCCUGAGCUGACACAUUGUGGUUGUGACACGUUUUAAAUAGCUUUCACUAAUUGUGCUCAUUGCUCAUCUCUUCCUACCAUUUCAUAAAUUGCAUUUAAUUGUUUUGGGGUUGCUUCUUUAAAAAUAAAUUGUUACCUAGAAGCCUUCUUGGAGCGUCUGCCCACACGCGUCGGCUGACGCAUCCUGAGGUGGCCGUGCUGGCUCACGUGUGCCUCUUUGCCCUGAUGGCACCUCCGCGGAUGUGGCCACUUCCUCCGGUCGGAAGAGGAGCCAUCCCAGGCCAGCGAGCGCGCGGGGAUCCUGCAGGGGAGCCUGGCGCCGGUCCUGUGUCGGGCGUUUCUCGUGCGUUCUCUUAUGUCAUCCCCGCAAGAACCCAGUGAGGAAGGGCCUUUCCCCGCCUAAUCGAUGAGGAAAUGGGGGCUCAGAAAAGCGCCAGAUAAGAGACGACCGCCGCCGCCGACCCCCGCCUCUCCUUCAUCCCACCAGCUCUGCGCCCUCAGCUACCCCAUCCUGCCGGGAGGGGCCCAGCUUCCUCUCCAAGUGCAAAGGAGGCCGUUUCCUUGGUAACAAAGGCCUCUGCCUCCCUGGGCAGGGCUGGCUUCAUUGCCAUAAGCCCCUCCUGAGACCCCCUGGUGGGGCGCGGCUGGGCUGAGUGUGCACAGACCCUGGAGGGACCCAGGCCCCCAGGCACCACUCAGGGCCCCCGCUCCUGGGGUCCGUGGGCAGAAUUUCAAGCUCAAGAGGUAUUCUUAAAAAGCACCCAUGCGGCUUAGUUAAACCUCCUAAAAUAAUUUCAGGCAAGCAAUUACUCCCUUUAAAGGCGUUUGGAGGUGUUGCAAUCCAGGCCCCCACUUCUCGUGAUGAAAGCCGGUCCCUUUGUGCUGCGGAGCUGGGUGGGGGCAGCUUGGCAUUCGAGGCCACUCCUUCCGCAGGUGCUCCGGUGCCUGGUUGCGCCCUGGGUACCUCCCUGCCCCCUUCCCCACUGCUGCCUGCGCCUCUGGGCUUGUCAGGGAGCCUGAGGGCUAGAGGCAGCACAGAACGAGGAGGGGUCUGCCAGGCAUUUCCCCACGUGACCGCCCCCCGAAGCUGGGCCUGGCUCCAUCCGGCUCUGGGGGCAGGUCCUCGCCAGCCCCGACUCUCUCCCUCUUUCCUCAGGCCUCACGAGGGGCGUCCCCUGCGCUGACAUUCAGAGUCAACGGGAAUCAAGGCUGCCCUGCCCUCGGGAGCCCCCGCACCUAGACAGACAGACGGCCGUGACGCACCAUGUGGGGCUGUGAUGGGGUGGGGCGCAGGAUCGGAGGGGGUGCCUGCCAGCAUCUUGGGGACCCAGGGAGCCUUUCUAGAGGAGGCGGGUGGAACACAGAUGACUGUGUGGCCAGGUCCCCUCCCCCACUGCCCGGCAGAUGGAAGGAGCCGGAGGGGACCGUGCCUGUGUCCAGAGCCUGAGCCCUGUGAGGCCACCACACUGCUGCUCGUCGUCCACCCGGAGCUCCCCACCUCCCCCUGUGAGGAGGGCACCCUGGGCCGAUGGGGAUGCGGGGCAGAGCUGAUGUGAGCCCACGGCCUGGCGCUCCAGUGGCGUCAGCUCAGAGCAGCCACUCCCAAGCUUAGCGGGGCCCGUGAGCCGGAGGUGAAGGCUGUGUGUUGUAAGCCCGCGGGUUCCUUACGCGGCAUUUCCAUGACUGGCGCUAACCUCUGCAAAGGGAUGCUUGCUCUGGACCCUUAAAGCCCGCAGGGGUGGCCGGGUGAGAGGGCACCCCAGGCAGAGGAAAGCUGUGAGCAGCCGGGGAGCGGGCUGGCCCUCCACCCGGGCUCUGGUCCCACCAGCGUCUACCCGCUGCACGCAGCUCCCUCCCUGGCGACCCCCGAGGGCUGCUCACAACUUACCUGUGAUCCAGGUGGGGCAAGGCGCAUCCUCAGGAUCUGCCAGCGGGGGGGACGAUGCACCAAACCAGAGCGUCCUUCCAUCCGCCGCCCCCACCCCCACCAGCGGGCUCUGCUGAGCCUCGUCCCUCGGGGCCCACGGCCCCCUAACGACUUCUCUUCAGGAGGCCUCAGGUCCAGCCGUCCGCCCAUGAGGAGCAUGCGCUGCAGCCUACACAGGCGCACCCCGAUUCUCCACCCAGCUCCUCGCCCCCGGGCCUUUGCCUGUGCUGCUCCCGCCACCUGGAAGCUGGUCCUUGCCUUGCCUUCUCACAGCCCUCGGCCCAUGACGCUUCCCACCCUUCAAAGUCUCGUUCACAGGACACCCCCUGUCGCACGGUCCCCAGACUAGCCAGUAGUGGCCUUCCCUCCCGUAGGCAGCACGACACCUCGGACCCCAAGGUCUUUCUGCCCCAUGACCAAAGCUGGCCCUGGUCAAAGAGGGACAUGGCAGCCGUGGGGUGGCUGACACUGCAGGUGCCUGGCCUUGGUGUGCACCUGCUCACCAGGCCACUGCAGGAGCAGGUUCCCAGGUCACACCUCCAGAGAACCGAAGGGGCCCUGGAGUCUGUAUUCCUUCAGCUCCACCCUUUGAGAAGCAGCAUCCAGGCGACCAGAAGGGCCUGUAUCGGCCUCCCCCCCAGGGCCCCCUCCCCACACCCACGGGGCGCAGCAGGCCGAUUGUCCACUGACGCUGCCUCCCUGGCAUCAGAGCUCUAUGCCCAGAGGACAUUCCAGGCUGUCAGCCGUGGUGAUGAAGAAAAAUGGGCUAUUUCACCCUUUAGAAGAAACACUCCAUUUUGGCUCCAUUACUUGGCUAGCUGGCUCCACUGUGCUUGGAGCCCUGCCUGAGACACAGGAGGAUGGGGGACCACAGACCAGGCGCGCGCAGGCCCGCAGGCCGUCCUCGGGGAUCUCAGCUGACCUCCCCGACCCCGCCCCACAGUCUG
Molecule: non-coding RNA, 6780 nt
Organism: Sus scrofa (pig)
Lineage: Eukaryota; Metazoa; Chordata; Mammalia; Artiodactyla; Suidae
Source: RefSeq, a predicted model, not a curated record